AAAUAGAUACCCAGGUAGUCCACGCCGUAAACGAUGAGUGCUAAGUGUUAGAGGGUUUCCGCCCUUUAGUGCUGCAGCUAACGCAUUAAGCACUCCGCCUGGGGAGUACGGUCGCAAGACUGAAACUCAAAGGAAUUGACGGGGGCCCGCACAAGCGGUGGAGCAUGUGGUUUAAUUCGAAGCAACGCGAAGAACCUUACCAGGUCUUGACAUCCUCUGACAACUCUAGAGAUAGAGCGUUCCCCUUCGGGGGACAGAGUGACAGGUGGUGCAUGGUUGUCGUCAGCUCGUGUCGUGAGAUGUUGGGUUAAGUCCCGCAACGAGCGCAACCCUUGAUCUUAGUUGCCAGCAUUUAGUUGGGCACUCUAAGGUGACUGCCGGUGACAAACCGGNGGAAGGUGGGGAUGACGUCAAAUCAUCAUGCCCCUUAUGACCUGGGCUACACACGUGCUACAAUGGAUGGUACAAAGGGCUGCAAGACCGCGAGGUCAAGCCAAUCCCAUAAAACCNUUACUCAGUCCGGAUUGU
Molecule: ribosomal RNA, 528 nt
Filed under: uncultured bacterium
Lineage: Bacteria
Description: bacterial SSU rRNA
Rfam family: Bacterial small subunit ribosomal RNA
Source: RNAcentral